CUGGGGGGUGAGGGGCUGGGACCAGGAGGGAGGUGGUGAGGGGCAGGGCCUUGCUGGGGGGCAAGGGGCUGGGACCCAGAGGGGCGCAGGGGGGCUGGGGCCAUGCUGAGCCGCAGCCCUUCGGCACAGCUGUGCCCUAGCCCAGCCGAGGCCCAGGGAGGCGGAUGCAGGAUCUCGGGCUGGUGCCAGCCGUGCUGUGGGGGCAGCAGCCACAGCUUCUCAUUCUGCUCCCCCCCCCCCCGGCCCUGCCCCCUGCUGCGGGGGCACCACCGCUGGGGCCAAAGGGACCUGCCUUGUUCCCGUUUCAGUGGAAUCAGACCAAGCCUCCCUGGGUCCCUCUGCCCCAGCGUAACACCCAUAGACCCCGCUCCUCUUCGGGCAGGAUCGGACUGGGAUCUCUGGAGCUUCGUGCAUGAACCUCUACAGCAAGGAUCCUUAACCUUUACCUGCACCCCUUUGGUUCACUAGCUGUGUUCUCACCCCCCUUAUCAAAAAUCGCUGAAGUAGGUCAGUUCUUUAAACCUGUGUUUUUUGUUUGUAUGUUACAGUAAUCGUUAAAAAAGGUCUCAUGUUAAUACACACACAGGUUUGAUGAAACAAAGUAUUUGUACUUACGUGCCUGUGCUUAAUUUGUGUUUUUGAUGAUUUACCUUCGAAAAAAAUCUGGCCUGUCUCACACCCCCAGAAAGGGCAUCUCGCCGCCUCAGGGGGGAGUGCACCCCAGGUUAAGAACCACUGCUCUACAGCAUGAGCUAAAACCCAACGGGCUGCUAGCUAAGGCUGCAGAGGAGACUCGUUCUCUCUCUCUAAGUGGUCUUGGCCACUAGCCGAGACAGAACCCCACACCCAGAAGGCACGUGGGUCUCACCAGCACCCCAGGAGCUGAGCACCUGAGCGAUCGGGCGCCUGGGCCAGGAGCCCCAGCGGAUCACACGCUAGCGUGGCACGCAGCAGAGCUGGGUUUUGGUGCCAGGGCUCGCUGCCCGACCUUGGGCACAGCACAUCCCUGCUCUACCCUCAUUUCCAGAGGCGAAAGCUGAAUGUUACCAACCUGCUGCGUAAUGCGCUUUGAGAUCUGCCCCCGAAAGGCACCUGCUAAGAGCUGGGACGUGCCCUCUCCCUUUGACAGAUGAGGAACUGGGCCAAGGAGGCUGCAGCAGAGCUGGGAACUCAGCUGGGAAGUGGGAGAAGGGCUCAGGGCCCUCACCCCUGCUCGCCCCCAGCUUAGUGCUGCAGUUUGCACAGGUUAAGUCUGUUUUGCAUUCAUUGCGCUGACAUGGCGCUGUCCCUGUGUGAGGACGUCAUGGCCUAGGCUGAAGGUGCACCGGCCCUGUGCCUGCAGGGUAGCACAAGGUGGAGAUGAGCUCAGUGGAAAUGCGCCGCCACGUAACCAGCUGACAGAUCCUUCUCAGCCAGUUGUCUCCAUUAGCUGAAAGCAGGGACAAGCCUCAUCAGCCCCCUCAGCAUGUAGCAGUUAAGCAACCAGAAGGCUCGCAUGGAGCCGCGUUCCCAGUUCAACCCAGACUCAGGCCAGAGCACGAGAGGUGCUACCCGCAGCAUUCCCGCCUCUCAACAGCAGCAAGCAAUGAGCAGAAAAGGGCAGAGAUGGGAAACAGAGUCAAGGCAGGGAUGAAGUAGAAGUGAGAACAAAAUCCCCAGCAAACACAACAGCAGAGAUGUGAAAGCUCGGUCGCAGCAGCUGCACCAGGAGCAGAUUCCAAAUCUGGCAGGAAGGGAACUGGGUCUGACAGAAGCUCAGCACAGCUGCAGUUACCAAUAUAGAGCACCCUGGACAUGAGCUAUGCUUACCCCAGGCCUUCCUGUGUAAGCAAGAGGGGAUGCAGCUCAGUGUAGCAAAGGGGGUGUCUGGAUGCUGAAAGCUGCCAUGAGGUUGUAGGGUGCAGUAUUGGAGUGAUGGGGCUUGUGAAUCACCAGACUGUUAGUUCAGUGAGGUCUCCCCGGGGACAGAAAGUUGAAGGGUCCAACCUGUAGCUGGAUGGACACACAUACCAGUGUCUGUAGGACUAGGCACUGGUGUCCAUGGACUUAGCCAUGGCCAAGAGAAACAUGAUUAAAUCCAGUCUGCCUGGCUCCCAGACCACCCUCUGGCCAAUGGCUCCCGGCUCCAGGGGAAGUGUAAGUGUUCAGAAAAUGACACAUUUUUACAGCAAGUAGAGAAAGGAGACAAGGCUCGAUAUAAAUCUCUCUUUACUUUGGAAAGGCAAUGUCCAGCUCUUGAGGGCUUGGAAGCCCCACAAAUACAGCAAGCCAGACAGCAUCUAUAGUAGAAACAUGGUAGCAAUUUUAUAAACCUCAAAUCAAAAGAGUGUGGGGAGACUACAUAAAAAGACCUGCAAAUCCUCCCCAGAGAAAGCAGCUUCUCACCCUCCCCUCAACAGAGGCCAGCAGGGCACCGUUCUCAAUCACUGGACACCGGCUUGCUUUGCAACUCUACGUCCUGCGCGACUAUCUCAGCUGGCUAGUGGCUCAGUCCCAAGGCAUUAAACAGUCCCGUUCUCGGCAGCACACACUGUUAAGGGCUUGAUACCCAAAGCUGCCAGCAUCCUACUACAUUGGCUCAGCGGCAUUUAAUAUGAUAUUACAAAUGGAGCUGGAGAAAGGGUGCAAAGGACUGAGCGUCUCGUUCCACACAGAGCACAAGGGCGGCCUUGUGUUGGACAUUGCGAAACCACAAUCACCCUCCAAGCUUGGUCAACAGAAGGGGAAAGGCAGAUCGGCUUCCUGAGAAGCAGUGUCCGGAGGCUGCCUGGCUGCAGGGAAAGCAGGUCUGUUUGCCACGCUGCAGCUGGCUCCUAUUGAAAGGCUCAGCAAAACAGAAAUCAAGGAAAACGUUUGACUCCCCGCACCCCAAAAGAAACUUCUAGAACAAAAGUCCAUG
Caretta caretta (loggerhead turtle) is the source of this 2899-nucleotide long non-coding RNA. RefSeq lists it as uncharacterized. The record is from RefSeq and is a predicted model, not a curated record. NCBI's taxonomy places the organism in Eukaryota, Metazoa, Chordata, Testudines, Cheloniidae.